GAGACGAUGGUAGAGUGGUUAUUACGUAUGAUUGUAAAUCAUAUGCGAAAGCAGCACGUGUUCGAAUCACGUUCGUCUCA
This 80-nucleotide transfer RNA is filed under the name Linnemannia elongata. RNAcentral describes it as "tRNA-Tyr". It matches the Rfam family "tRNA". Rfam says of the family: Transfer RNA (tRNA) molecules are approximately 80 nucleotides in length. Their secondary structure includes four short double-helical elements and three loops (D, anti-codon, and T loops). The record is from RNAcentral. Lineage: Eukaryota; Fungi; Mortierellomycota; Mortierellomycetes; Mortierellales; Mortierellaceae.